AUGAUAAAGGGCAGGGCUCCUAUCAGACACAAAAUGGUGAAGAAAACCUUCGGCGAAGUUUUUGGAAAGAGUGAGUGGCCGACAACACUAACUUCUCUGAAAAGUAGUACAAUUUCAGCUGCUCGAUGGAUUUUUUUUGAGUGUGCCGGGGACACAUUGCAUUAUCAGCAACGUACCAAUGACAACAUUUGUACCUAUUAUCAAGUUCCAAUGAAUGGCGCCCUGAGAAGAUCUAUUCCAGGAUGCAUGAUCAGUGUUAAAGCUCAGAUUGAAAAAAUAGAAGAAUGUUAUCGUCUGAGAUGUGCAUUACUACCAUGGAGGCAUUCCUUCAUGCACCUGUUCCCUGUCAUAUCAAACAUCAGGAACACUGAAACAUAA
RNAcentral lists this ribosomal RNA (378 nucleotides) under Triticum aestivum (bread wheat). RNAcentral's name for it is "partial small subunit ribosomal RNA". The record is from RNAcentral. Lineage: Eukaryota; Viridiplantae; Streptophyta; Magnoliopsida; Poales; Poaceae.